GACGAACGCUGGCGGCGUGCCUAAUACAUGCAAGUCGAGCGGACGAAUCGAAAGCUUGCUUUUGAUUCGUUAGCGGCGGACGGGUGAGUAACACGUGGGCACCCUGCCCUGUAGACGGGGAUAACACCGAGAAAUCGGUGCUAAUACCGGAUAACACGAAAUGUCGCAUGACGUUUCGUUGAAAGACGGCGCACGCUGUCGCUACAGGCUGGACCCGCGGCGGAUUAGCUAGUUGGUGAGGUAACGGCUCACCAAGGCGACGAUACGUAGCCGACCUGAGAGGGUGAUCGGCCACACUGGGACUGAGACACGGCCCAGACUCCUACGGGAGGCAGCAGUAGGGAAUCUUCCGCAAUGGACGAAAGUCUGACGGAGCAACGCCGCGUGAGCGAAGAAGGCCUUCGGGUCGUAAAGCUCUGUUGUUAGGGAAGAACAAGUAACGCAGUAACUGGCGUGACCGUGACGGUACCUAACGAGAAAGCCACGGCUAACUACGUG
RNAcentral lists this ribosomal RNA (498 nucleotides) under uncultured bacterium. RNAcentral's name for it is "partial 16S ribosomal RNA". It matches the Rfam family "Bacterial small subunit ribosomal RNA", at positions 28 to 507 of the family's 1533-position model. The record is from RNAcentral.